GCGUGAGUGUUCUGUGGAAAUACUGGGUGGAAAUGAGAAUCAAGGAACCCAGUUGGAGAAACUGAGUCACGGUGAGAGCUGAGACUGAGAUCCUGGAGGUUGUCUGGGGCAGAUCUGGGCUCUAGUGGGGAUCCUGCGGUGGGCACUGUUUGCUGUCUGGCUUACCUACAACUAGAGAAAGCUUCAGCUGCACCCCGGAGGGAAUUAGUCAAUUCCUGGAUCCUUCCCUUGCCCUCUCCCAGAGCAGUUGAUUCAGUUUCCGUUGUAAUGAGAUCUCCAGGGACUUUGUAGACAAAAUAAUGACGGUCUUUGAGUGACCAAGAGGAUAGCGAAGAUUUGGUUUAUUUAUAACCAUGUAUAAGGGGCGGGGGAAGGGACGGACACAUGACAAGCACACUCGGAGCCCAGAGGCAGGCACUGGAUCCCUCAGAACUGGAGCUAUAGGUGUUUGUGAACCACUGGGCACGUGCACUGGGAACAAGAGUCCUCUGAAAAGGAAGCACUUACGCUCUUAGCUCUUAAGCCCAUCGUGCCCACUUUUUGACCUUCUUCCGGUUUGCUGUUGCCUUUUAUCAGACAGCAGUGUCUAUAGUCUGGAUUCAUAGUGAAAGAGCCAGGUUCUAAACAUUUGUGCUAUACUUACUUAUAAGCAGUGGAUAUUAGAAAACUACUUUUGGGGGUGUAUAGAGGAAGAGUACAGAGGAGAAAAUACCAGGAAGCUUCAUGAUCCUGACUGUCUCAGGCCAAAGGCAUAAGGGAGAAAAAUACUCACUGAACUCCGUCAGAAUGAAAAACCUCCAUGUACUCGGGAAAGAACCCUACUACAAUGUAGUGAAUCCACAGUGACCCCACACUCUUGGAACCAGCUACUGGUGGGGAAAUGGCUCAGCUGCUAAGAUGUUUGCUAUGCAAGCAUGAGGUGCUGAGUUCAGAUGCCCCAAACCCACAUAAAAAGCCAGCUCUGCUGACACACAUCUGUGACCCAGCCUUGGGGUGACAGAGACACGAUAGCUCCUGGCUGGAGGGGAUGAAGUGAUGACUGAGCAGUUGGGAACGCUUGCUACUCUUCCAGAAGACCCAAAUUCCGUCCCUAGUAGCCACCGUCUGAGUCUCACUAUUGCCUAUAUAGCUCCAGAGGACCUGACACCCUCUUCUGUCCUCCAUGGGUACCCAUACUCACAUAGCAUAGACACAGAGAGACCUACACAUACACUUAAAUAAAACCAGAAGUAAAUGUUUAAAUAAAAUAAGGAGGAGAUCAAUCAAGAAAGGCUUGUGGUACUCUCUGACCACAAACAAGUACACGCGAGUGCACACACACACACACACACACACACACACACACACGCACACACACACGCAGAUGACAAACACACAGAGAGUGCCAAAAGACAUAAAGAAAAUUGGAACUCUUAUGCACUGCUGGUGAGAAUGUAAAAUGAUGCAGCUUUAAGAAGCUCCAACUGGGGAGCCAGGUGUAAUGGGGCACACGGUUAAUCCCAGCACCUGGGAGGCAGUGGCAGGCAGGUCUCUGAGUUUGAGCCUAGCCUGGUCUACAGAAUGAGUUUCAGGACAGCCAGGGCUACACAGAGAAACUGUGUCUCAAAAAAAGACAGACAGACAGACAGACAGACAGACAGAAAGAAAGAAAGAAAGGAAGGAAGGAAGAAAACAACAACAAAGCCCCAUCACUACCACCAACAAACGACCCCAAAAUAUUACCAUAUGACCUAGUGACUCUAUUUUAGUCCCAAAGGAAUUGCAAGUAGAAAAGUGAAAACACAUUUGCAUGCCUGUGUUCUUAAGAGCAUUGGCCACUACAGCCAAAACCCAUGAGCAACCUAAGAGUUCAUUGGUGGCUGACCCAAGAAAGCAUGCUGGGUACACUCAGUGGUUAGGUGCAAAGGAAGGGAAGUUUCUACGAUGAUGGAAUAAUCUUCAGACUUUCAAAGGAGGGGGCUCCACACACCACACACACACACACACACACACACACACACACACACACACACACACACCCCGUAACCCUAAUGGAUCUUGAAAACACUACAUCCAGUGAAACCAGCCAGCCACACAAGGAUAGAGCUGUAUGCAUCUAUGAGUCAAGUUCAAAGUGACACGGGGAGAAAGGCAGUGGGUGGGGGAUGUGCUGGACGUGCAAGGAAUCUCAGAAGUCAGUCUGGGGAGGUAACGAGUACUUGGUGUUGAUGGCAGUGUGGCACUCUGGAUUGCACAGAACUGUGCCUGCAAACUGUGCCUACAAAUGGUUGGAACUGUAUGCUUCACACAUAAUUAUGUUACGCUCAUGUAUUUUACCAUCAUGAAGUGAAAGCGACAUAUAAACACAUGCUUCUACUGAUCUCAAAUUCCCCCCAGAUUGAAUUUGAUAGGCCAAAAAUGUGCUUUUAAAAACCUUUAAGGGUGGCGCACGGUGCUUUAAUCCCAGCACUGGGGAGGCAGAGGCAGGUGGAUCUUUUGAGUUCAAGGCCAGCCUGGUCUUCAGAGUUGAGUUUCAGGACAGCCAGGGAUAUGCAUAAACCCUGUCUCAAAAAACAAAAUCCACUAAAGGGCUGGUGAAAUGGCUCCGUAGGUUACCUCCUGAGGUGCUUACCUCACAGGCCCACGUCCAAUACCCAGAACCUAUGUAAAAGGUGGAAGAGGAACAGCUCGUCACAGAUGCUCUCUGACUUCCACAUCCACCCACGUACACACACCAAUAAACAAAAAUAUCCAUAAAACCAGGCAUGGUGCCAGGCACCUGUAAUCCUACCGCUCUGGGGACUGAGACAGGGGGAGCUGAAGUUCAACGCCAGCCUAAACUACAUAGCAAGACCUUGUCUCAAAAAAAAAAUUAAAAAAAAAAAAAAACUUGAUUUGAAAUUGUUGAAUGGGUACAGAGCUUCAAUUCUGCAAGAGGACGAAGUUUACAGGUUGGGUGGGCAAUCAUGAACUUAGACACUACUGGCCUGUACACUCUCCGGUGGUUAAGAUGGCAGACUCCUUGCUGUCUAUUUUACAAUUAAAACUUUUAAGAGUAUACGUAACAAGGCUGGGCAUGGUGGCGCAAGCCUAAAAUCUCAGCAACACUCAGGAGCCUGAAGUAAGAGGAUCGUGAGUUCCACAUCAGACUGGAUUAUGUUUAAAAAAAAAACAAAAACAAAAAACACAUGUGCCAAGCGUCUGCUGAAAACUGGGGAAUGGUGACUGACAGCCACAGGGAUGAGGAAACCUCAGUGGUUGUUCGGGAAGUUAACUGGGGCAUUCUCUGGGCAGUCCCUCCCAGUCUCAAGCCAUAGGAACUAGGAGAUGGGCGAAAGCAGACUGAAGGCCCGCCCAGACUUUCUGAUUUUGAUGACCUGGGUGGAGGGAGGACUUUGAAUUUCUAAUAAGUCCAAGCUGAGGAACCGGGUGAUGCUGGCCUCCCAACUGCUCUCCCUCCUUCGCCUCUCCGGAGAGAGAUAGCAUCUGUCCUAGGUAGAGUGCAGAGUACACUCAAGGGUUCUCAAGGGACCAGGACCCUCCAUACUAACAGACAUUUACCAGGACCUACUAGCCUGCCCUCUCCACAAUAAGGGGAGGCUAUGGAAACUGUCACCAAUCAUUGUAAGCUUAACAGAUUUCUAAAGUCCAGAGAAUCAACACAUGAGGAAGUAGAGUCAAUCAAACCAACAUGGUCAAAACACACACAGACACACACACACGCACACAGACACACACACAGACAGACACACACAGACACACAGACAGGCACACACAUAUGUAGACAUACACACACACAGACACACAGACACAGACACACAGACACACAGACACACAGACAUAGACACACAUGGACACACACACGGACACACACACACAUAGACACACACAGACACACAGACACACAGACACAGACACACACAUUAUUCUCACACUUUAGAGACCACAAAGAGGACAAAAAAAAAAAAAAAAAAGGAGGAGAAAGAGACUGGAAGAAAACGGUUAAGCCUAAUACACACAAAACACGCCAAUAUUGAGUUUACUUACAAACUGGAAUUCAUUUCAGUUGUUUUAAUCACUUUUAGACUGUAGGCAUUCCUGAAGCCACCCCCCUGGAUCUAAAUGAAGACUGCAUCCAGGCCCAGAUACGGUGGCCCACAUUUGUCUGCUCAGCGGUCUAGAGGCUGAAGCAAGAUGACCAUGAAUUUGAAUCUUCUCACUUCUCAAAGAGACCCUAUCUUUAAAGUAAACAGAAAUAAAAAGAAAUCUAGAAUAGAUCAAAAAAUGGAUCAGGUCCAUUUCUGCAGAAGGUUCCCUGCCCAGCCAAUGACCCCCAUAGCUCUCCCUCCAUCCCCUAGACGCCUCUUCCGAAGCCUCAUACAAAUGGAACCAAAGACUCCAUGCCUGUGUAGGCAGUACCUUGUCCUCUGUCAUUGUAUCCCACAGAUGAGUGUCACACUGCUGUUGGUGAACACUCAGGUUGUUACCACUUAGCUCUUGUAAGUGACACUAAGACUAUUCAUAUACAUUCAUGCUGAAGGAUUUCUGUCUUGGGUCUGUGUUGACUGCCAUUGUUUGGACAUAAGAUUUACUUGACUUUAAUACCAUGCAGUAUCUGAGAAUUCCAAUUGUCCUAUGUACUUACCAAUACCAGACAAUAUCAUUGUUUAAAUUACUGUAAAUGAUAAGGGAGAGGCAUGCAUAGCUCUGAUUUGCAUAAUCUAAUGAGUAAUAAUAAGUCAGUCUUUAUAUACUGACUAUUUGAAUAUCUCUCUUCAGUCUUUAGCCUGUUUUGUUAUGGGAUUGAUUUUUUUUAUUGGUUUAUUAAGGAUCUUUACAUAUGAUAUAUACCCUUUGACAAAGAUAUGUGUAUCUUUAGUUAUUCUCUACCAGUCUGUGGCUUCCCUUCUUUAUCUUAUGAUUUUGGUCUUCUGGUUAUGAGAAGCCUUAAUGAAAUUGCCUAUCAAGUUGUUUGUUAACUUACACUUCUUUGUAUUCUAUUUUGAAAACAGAUGCUUAACCUCAAGUCCAUGGAGACAUUCUGCCAUGCUUCCUUUUAGACAUUUUUAAAGAUUUAUUUUAUUUUUCACUGUGAGGUGCAGGGCAUGUGCACUUGAGUGCAGGUACCUUCAGAGGCCAGAAGAAAGUGUGUGCACCUGGAGUUGGAAUUAAAGGUGGUUUGCAGCCCAGUUGGUGUGGGCGUUGGGAACAGAGCUCAGACCCUCUGCAAGUGCUUUCAACUGAUGAGCCAUCUCUCCAGUCCUGCCUUUAAAAAUCUGUAUUAUAGCAAUAGCUUUUGUCUUUAUACCUAUAAUCCAACAUGUAACCUGUGUAUGUUGUGAAGGAUCCAGUUCUUCCCUCCCUCCCUCCUUCCCUCCCUCCCUCCCUCCCUUCCUCCUCCCACCUCUCUCUUCCCUGGAACCCCAAAUGACUCAACUUCAUGUAACAGCAUUUUACUGAUCAGCACCUCCACUGACUUGCUAUUCGAAUGCCUGUCUGAAGUCAUGUGAUCGAGUGAGUGAGACUGAGUGGACCCUCCAAUCUAUUUCAACGGUCCAUCUGCUGUAAUUACGUCAGGUUUUUUUGCGGGGAGGGGGACAGGGUUUUUCUGGCGGUGGUGCCGGUUCCUUAGGUAAGGCCUCAGUUUGUAGCUCUGUCUGGCCUAGAACUCACUAUGCAGACUCACUAUGUUGUCUAAUUGUCAGAGAUCCACCUGCCUCUACUUCCCAAGUGCGGGGAUUAAAGGCGGGCACCACGAUCAUGAUCAUUGGUUAGUUUGUUUUGUUUUGCUUUGUUUUGUUUUUGUUUGAGAUGGGGUCUUGCUGUGUAUCCCUGGCUGUUCUGGAACUCCUUUCUAGAUCAGGCUGGACUUGAACUCACAGAGAUCCACUUGCCUCUGCCUCCCAAGUGCUGGGAUUAAAGGUGUGUACCACCAACCCAAGUUGAGUUAGUUUGUUUUUAAUAUAGGUUUAGAGCGGGUGGUGGUCCUCUUAAUUCCACCCACCUUUAGCUCUUGCUUUCCCAGGUCUUUUGCACUAAAUGUGGACUAAACUCCUCAGUGUUCACUAAGAUAAAACUGGACUUUUUGGAGUUACAGAUCGCUCUGAGGUGCCUGAUGUGGGUGCUAGGAAUGAAACUCCGAUCCUCUGGAAGAUCAGGACAUGUUCAUAACCACUGAGCCAUCACUUAAGCAGAGGGUAAAUUUUUUAGAACUAAAAUUAUGGGGCCCAUGCAACAACCAUGAUCAGAGGCAACUAUUUACGACUAAACUAUGUGGCUUUCUCACUUUGCACAGCAAGUUGUCUCAAGGCUUUGCUAUCUGCAGACACAACCUUGUGUGAAGAUUCUGACUAUGGCGACACAAACUUGCUCUUGGCUUUGUCAUCAAUCAGUCUAAGCAUCUUGCUUGUACCCCUGCCUGGGGAGGCAGGUGAGAGCCACGGUUCCAAGUGUGGGCUUGGAGAUGGACAAAGGUAGUUAAAAUAUCAUCUUGUUCUGAUGCAUGAGGGAUGUGUCUCUAACAGACUCCUUAACAUAUGAGACUUUUGGGGCUGGAGAUGAAGCAGUGGUUAAAAAUUUGGGAUGUUCUAUCAGAGGACCCAAGUUCAAUACUGAAGAAAUAAAGUUUCAUAGAUGAGAAAAACAAAGUUAUAAAAACAAGGUUUUGAGAAAUACAUCUGGUGGUCAGGAUGCCUAUGACAAACUUGUGACCUUUCUGAGAGAUACAUCUGAUGUCAUGAUGCCCAGUGAUAUGACAGAGUUUUGGUGAUUAAGAUUCUGACUAAGCUAAUCAAGACAAAACAAAAACAACUGUUCUCAGAAAGAUCCCCUACCCCUCCCUGUGGUAAAUUCCAAGAACAACCUCAAGAUGUCAUCCUGACCCUGCCCGGCCACCCAGUUCACCCCCCCCCCCCUCUAAGGGACGUGCCAACUUAGCCCUUUCCCAGUGAUUCACCAAGGCCAGGUGUACGGCUGCAUGAGGAAAGUGACCAACUGAGCCAAGAACAGCCCCUUGAGCAGGCCAGCCAAUACCUGACCAGAUCCUUUGUCCUGUGCACCACCAAUGAGAAUGGGCCAGCUAACCCUGUUGCUCUGUAACGAAUAAAAGAUGUGUGCUUUUUGGGUUCGGGGUUGCCUCUCCCUGUGUGGAUGAGCAACCCCACGUACGUGGAUUAAAAAACCUCAUGCUAUUGCAGCAGUCACUUUGUCAAUCUGUGCUCUGUGGGUUGCGCUCCUGAGGUGAGGCCAUUAUGGGGUCUUUCAACAAUACCUAGCACCCAUCUGGCAGCUCACGGCAAUCUAUAACUCCAGUUUCAGGAGAUCUGAUGCUGUCUGAGAGCUCCGUGUUUGCAUGCACUGCACAGACACACAUUCAGGAAAACACUCACUUGCAUACAUACAUACAUACAUACAUACAUACAUACAUACAUACAUACAUCUUUAAAAUGAGACAUACAAGACUUUCACAGGCUCCAGUUCCAACAGUGGUGACUAUGUCAAAGGUACAUCGUGGGAACUGCUCAGAAACUUGAAACACCCAGAGAGCAUCAGACUUUCAAGGAAUGCUGUCUGCUACCAUUGGGGCGAGGUUGUCUCCUGAAAGAAUGACUCUGUAAGGCAGGAAAUGCAGAGUGGAGAGGGAGGACAGGAACUCCCUGGAACUCAGCAACAGGACUCAGGCCCCAUGAAAAAGGAACUGGCCGAAGGCAGCUGGGCACGCAUGUGCACGUCUGUGCAUACGUGUGCAUUCCUAUGUAUACUAAGAGCUGUCCGUCCAGGCAUGGGUAUGGCAGAGUUACUAUAAAAGAGCAAAAGCUAGGGAUGAUAGUGGAAAUUCGAGAAUGACACUGGGGACCAGCAAGAUGGCUAGGUGGGUAAAGGUGCUUGCUGCCAAGUCUGACAACCCGAGUUCGAUCCCCAGAACACCAUGUGAUGGAAGGGAAGGACUAACUCCUGUGACAUCCAUGUGAGCACUGUGAUCACGUGUAACACACACACACACACACAUACACACACACACACAGAGAGAGAGAGAGAGAGAGAGAGAGAGAGAGAGAGAGAGAGAGAAUUAAAAAGAAGAAAGGCCAUAGAUCACCUGUCUCAAUAACAGAAUAACAACUACAGGCGCCACUGAGUGGACAGUACAAGUGAGCUAAGCUCACUCCUUCUUUCUCCUAAAGCCUGGAAAAAAAUACUGUACUGACAGCAAAUAGUGUUGGAGAAACGCCACGAGGGUUUUGGAUUUAUCUUAGGAUAUCAAGGCCCGAGGCGGGGAGAAGGACAGCCUCACCCAGGUGAGGUGGGAGUAUCAGGCCGUUUCAUUUGCAUGUUAAAAACGGUGAUAUCAAUCUAUAGAGAGGCACUGUUAAAAGCCCUUUAAUGAACGUAAUUAAGUCAUUUGAUCUUCCCAGCAACCCCACAAAGUAGAGACUGUUAUCAUCCCCAUCUCUUCAGAUGAGGAACGGAAGGCAUCCAGCUGUCCAGUCAGCUUUCUCAGAGUCGCACAGCCAAGUACACUGGAUGUAAGCCCCAGAGACCGUGUUCUUAACCCCUGAGCCCCAAGCAGGUGAGCUGGGGCAUAUGAGUCUUCAUAAGGUCACCGUAUCACCAUGUCUACUUAGUGCUUUCAAUAUUUUCCACUUCCAGACGUAAUAGACACUUCUGCGCAUCUAAUUUUUCUCUUCCGUUGAAUCACCUCUUCAGGACUGCCUCCUGUAAAUGGCAUGACUCUGUCCCUGGUGAUAAAACACUUUACAGUCGUGGUUACAUGUUGCAUUUGCCAAACAGGCAGCACCAGUUUACGACGUUGUUACCAGGGGACGACUUUGCCACUUUCACCACCACCAUAAGGAGCAGAGGGAGAAUCACCGUCGACAUAAACACCCAAGUCUAUCGCAUUUAAAUUUAAUAGACGCACAGCUGGUUGUUGGCAAUUUGCAGCAUGUGACGUGGCUAAUAGCCGUUCAGCUGGGAUUCUCUCUGAGUUCCAGGCCUUUUCGUUCACCACAUCGGGUUAGCCGGAGUUGAGCUUUCAGCCUUCAUUGUUCUUGGCCCUGUGGUCCCAGUCUAUGCAGAACAGCAGAGAUGUUGGGACCUGUAAUUAUCAGUCCCAUUGUGCGAGACAGGUUACAUCCUACUGCUCAGCCUGGAGCAUGUGUGCACUUCUACAGACUGUCCUGGACCAGCUUUCUCUCUGCAUCCCAAAGCUCAGCCUAGGACAUGAUGGACCCCGGGAGGAUUUGUUUACCGGAUGGCUUGGAAAAGAAAAAAUUCUCCCACAGCCUGCCCGAAAACCUCCACAUGCUGAGGGUACACACUCGAAAUGGAGAGUCUGAGAACUCGAACUCUUGUUUUUCUGAAUGCACAGGCAGCCUUUCAUACUGAUAGGGAAUUGGCUCCAGGACUCUUCCAGAGACUCGACUCCUGGAUGUUCAAGUCCUUCAGGUAGAAUGCUUCAGUCGACGCAUGUAAUGUGUGCAGUGCUCUUGUAUGCUCCAACCGCAUACUUAGAAUGCUUAACCACAUGCUUAGAAGGAGAACCUCGAGGUCUUGCUCCCAGACUAACACAAGGGAGGAGGCUGUUAGUGAUCCGGACAGCCGCAUGCUUUUUCCUGAAUGUUUUUGACUGGUCUCAAUCUACAGACAUGGAUAAGGCCUUAGGAUCUUGUUCAUGGGAAACCUGUGGCCAGUGGGGUCCACUGUCUUUCUUCUCCGUUAUGCAUAGCAGAUGCCCUUUCCUCCACGCUGUGGCUCUGCUGCCUUUCCACUUUCCAAACGAAACCAAGGCUGUGUCCGAGGAGGAGUUUGGUGAAGGUUUCGGUGACAUUGGAUACCUGCUGCUUAGACGUUCUGGUUUUAUCACUGAGAAUCCAGAAGAACCCUUGGGCCCUGGUUUUCUCUCUGAGUGGUUGAUUUCUCUAGCACAAGAGAAGCUGGCAGACAAAUUCACCGUAACGAGAUUAAGGUCUGAGUCCCACCCACCGUGUGACCGGAUUGGCUGUGUUGGGACAUAUUGAUGUUAGAGCUACAUGGUGUGAAACAGAUCAAAGUUUUGUUUUGUCUUCAUUCAAAAACUGUAAAAAGAAUUAUUUCAA
Rattus norvegicus (Norway rat) is the source of this 10073-nucleotide long non-coding RNA. RefSeq lists it as uncharacterized. The record is from RefSeq and is a predicted model, not a curated record. NCBI's taxonomy places the organism in Eukaryota, Metazoa, Chordata, Mammalia, Rodentia, Muridae.